Molecule: ribosomal RNA, 1203 nt
Filed under: Triticum aestivum (bread wheat)
Lineage: Eukaryota; Viridiplantae; Streptophyta; Magnoliopsida; Poales; Poaceae
Description: partial small subunit ribosomal RNA
Source: RNAcentral
AUGAGACUGCGGCUGCGUCUGCUGGUUCUGUGCUUGAUGAUAAUCCUAUUUGUGGUCUACAACAUGGCAAGCUACCAACGCAGACAGACUGUGUUGGAUGAAGACGCUCCCCCGUUUGAUACGAUGAUGGGGUCUGACAGGGCUGCUGUUAAGGUAUCCGGGACUGGGAGAGCUUCUGCUUCUACUGCUAGGGUCGGGUUUUUGCCUCAUGGUAUAGUGGAGCCUUACUCCGACAUGGAACUCAAGCCAUUAUGGCUGACAAGAAGCGUGCAAUCACAGCAGGAGUCUAACCAGAAAGACAGGUGCUUGAUUGCUAUCCCUGCUGGUAUAAAUCAGAAGAAAAGUGUAGAUGCUCUUAUGAAGAAGUUUCUUGCAGAGAACUUUACAGCUAUAUUGUUCCACUACGAUGGGAAGGUCAAUGAGUGGAAUGAUCUACCAUGGAGUAAAAGUGUGAUACACAUCGCUGCUUCUAAUCAGACAAAAUGGUGGUUUGCUAAAAGGUUCCUCCAUCCUGCUGUCGUCUCCAUGUACAAGUAUAUAUUUCUUUGGGACGAAGAUCUUGAAGUAGAUAAUUUUAACCCAAGAAGGUACUUGAAUAUAGUCAAAUCAGAAAGGCUGGAGAUAUCUCAACCUGCUCUUGACCCUAAGUUAUCUGAAAUUCAUCAUCCGAUAACUGUUCGUAAGAAAACAGGGAAUUUCCACAGAAGAGUCAGUCGGGCUAAUAAAGAUUGUUCAAGAGAAGGGCCACCUUGUUCUGGAUGGGUCGAGGGCAUGGCACCGGUUUUCUCGAAAUCUGCUUGGCAAUGUGCUUGGCAUCUCAUCCAGAAUGAUCUUGUCCAUGGAUGGGGUAUUGAUUACAAGUUUGGAUAUUGCGCCCAGGGUGACAGGACAAAGAACAUUGGAGUAGUUGAUAGCGAAUUUGUAGUCCAUCGAGGUGUACAGACAUUAGGAGGUUCUGCAAUGACAAAGCGUACCCGUGGCAAGAACUCGCAUGCACUUCGCCAGAAAACUGCUCAAGUGCAGCAACAAACGAGAGGGAAGGCAGCAGGCCUUGACAUGAGGACAAAGGUCAGGAGAAAAUCGCGGGUGGAGCUUCGUGAUUUCCAGAAGCGCUGGGAGCGCGCUGCGAGGGAAGAUAGAACUUGGGUGGAUCCAUUCACUCGCUCCCGGAGAAAGAGGAGGAGCAGGCCAGCAGUAGAUUAA